This 292-nucleotide ribosomal RNA is filed under the name uncultured bacterium. RNAcentral describes it as "partial 16S ribosomal RNA". It matches the Rfam family "Bacterial small subunit ribosomal RNA", at positions 505 to 796 of the family's 1533-position model. The record is from RNAcentral.
GUGUCAGCCGCCGCGGUAAGACAGAGGUGCCAAGCGUUAGGCGGAAUCACUGGGCUUAAAGCGUGUGUAGGCGGAGCGUUAAGUGCCUUGUGAAAUCCCGCGGCUCAACCGCGGAACUGCUGGGCAUACUGGCGUUCUUGAGCCAAUCAGGGGUCGCCGGAACAAACGGUGGAGCGGUGAAAUGCGUAGAUAUCGUUUGGAACGCCGAAGGCGAAAGCAGGCGACUGGGAUUGCGCUGACGCUGAGACACGAAAGCCAGGGGAGCGAACGGGAUUAGAUACCCGCGUAGUCC